RNAcentral lists this ribosomal RNA (575 nucleotides) under uncultured bacterium. Its description in RNAcentral is "bacterial SSU rRNA". It matches the Rfam family "Bacterial small subunit ribosomal RNA", at positions 8 to 562 of the family's 1533-position model. The record is from RNAcentral.
AGAGUUUGAUCAUGGCUCAGAAUCAACGCUGGCGGCGUGCCUCAGACAUGCAAGUCGAACGCGAAAGUUCCCUUCGGGGAGCAAGUAGAGUGGCGCACGGGUGAGUAACACGUAGGUAAUCUACCUUUGGAUGGGGAAUAACCCCGAGAAAUCGGGGCUAAUACCGCAUAAUGCAGCGGCACCUAAUGGUGACAGUUGUUAAAGCGGGGGAUCGCAAGACCUCGCGUCUAAAGAGGAGCCUGCGGCGGAUUAGCUAGUUGGUAAGGUAACGGCUUACCAAGGCGAUGAUCCGUAGCCGGCCUGAGAGGGCGGUCGGCCACACUGACACUGACAUACGGGUCAGACUCCUACGGGAGGCAGCAGUCGGGAAUUUUGGGCAAUGGGCGAAAGCCUGACCCAGCAACGCCGCGUGAAGGAUGAAAUCCCUCGGGAUGUAAACUUCGCAAGAACGGGAAGAAUAAGUAAGGGUUAAUAUCUCUUACGAUGACGGUACCGUUUGUAAGCUCCGGCUAACUCCGUGCCAGCAGCCGCGGUAAUACGGGGGGAGCAAGCGUUGUUCGGAUUUACUGGGCGUA